This 467-nucleotide ribosomal RNA is filed under the name Diutina rugosa. RNAcentral's name for it is "eukaryotic LSU rRNA". It matches the Rfam family "Eukaryotic large subunit ribosomal RNA", at positions 80 to 648 of the family's 3401-position model. Lineage: Eukaryota; Fungi; Ascomycota; Pichiomycetes; Serinales; Debaryomycetaceae. The record is from RNAcentral.
UCAGUAACGGCGAGUGAAGCGGCAACAGCUCAAAUUUGAAAGCCCGCGGGCGUUGUAAUUUGCAGGCGGAUGUUUUGGGGCGGGCGCUGUCUACGUUCCUUGGAACAGGACGCCGCAGAGGGUGAGAGCCCCGUGCGAUGGCGCCUCUAACCGCGUAAAACUCCGCCGACGAGUCGAGUUGUUUGGGAAUGCAGCUCCAAGUGGGUGGUAAAUUCCAUCUAAAGCUAAAUACUGGCGAGAGACCGAUAGCGAACAAGUACAGUGAUGGAAAGAUGAAAAGCACUUUGAAAAGAGAGUGAAACAGCACGUGAAAUUGUUGAAAGGGAAGGGUAUGCGAUUAGCGGCCAGCAGGAGGUGCCUUCUCGUGAAAAGGCCGUGCACCGUCUUCGGACACCGUGCGCGGAGAUGGCGAGGGGGCGCCUGAGGUCUGCGAACUCGAGGUUGCUGGCGUAAUGAUUGCAUACCAC